Molecule: transfer RNA, 76 nt
Filed under: Puniceicoccales bacterium
Lineage: Bacteria; Pseudomonadati; Verrucomicrobiota; Opitutia; Puniceicoccales
Description: tRNA-Arg
Rfam family: tRNA
About the family: Transfer RNA (tRNA) molecules are approximately 80 nucleotides in length. Their secondary structure includes four short double-helical elements and three loops (D, anti-codon, and T loops). Further hydrogen bonds mediate the characteristic L-shaped molecular structure. tRNAs have two regions of fundamental functional importance: the anti-codon, which is responsible for specific mRNA codon recognition, and the 3' end, to which the tRNAs corresponding amino acid is attached (by aminoacyl-tRNA synthetases). tRNAs cope with the degeneracy of the genetic code in two manners: having more than one tRNA (with a specific anti-codon) for a particular amino acid; and 'wobble' base-pairing, i.e. permitting non-standard base-pairing at the 3rd anti-codon position.
Source: RNAcentral
GGGGGAGUAGCUCAGCGGAUAGAGCAGUGGCCUUCUAAGCCAAAGGUCGAGGGUUCGAGUCCCUCCUCCCCCGCCA